Molecule: long non-coding RNA, 1221 nt
Organism: Camelina sativa (false flax)
Lineage: Eukaryota; Viridiplantae; Streptophyta; Magnoliopsida; Brassicales; Brassicaceae
Source: RefSeq, a predicted model, not a curated record
CCAAAAAUAGGUGAUUGAAAGGACACGAAUCACGAUGUGUGGUGGUCUUGUAAUUGCGACAUUAUCAAGAAUACUGUCAAACUGAUCUGAAAUCUAGCAAACAAAUCUCUAUCAGUGAAUUAAAAAGGAUUUCCAGGAGAGGCCAUGGCUACAAUGUCUCUAAACAACUCAUAAAGCAAGAGGAAGCCUAUCAAAACCGAAGGCAGCUUUGUAUAAGACAGGUUCAGUGAUUUGCCAUACAAUUUGUUAUGUCAAAUCCUCUCUGAACUCCGUACCAAGGAAACGGUUAGCACUAGUAUCUUGUCAAGGCGUUGGAAAGAUCUCUGGUCACAUCUUCCUGUUUUGGAUUUGGGUUACAAUGAUUUCAAAGAUACUGAUUUCGAUUUGAUGCUUUAUAGAUUGUUUUUUUGGAGCCUAACCUGGUUUUAGAGGUAACGAAACAAAUUCUGAUUGUGGAUGAUCAAAGAAAACAGUGUAGAGAGUCAAAUCCACCAAUGUGAAGCAUGAAUAGAGCGAGAGAGGCAUCCUAACCAAGGCAUCAUGAACAGCCACCGUAUUCAGAAUAGUUAGAUGACCAACUCCACGCUCAAACACUUUAUAUAUCGUGAACACAAAACAAUCAUGAACGGGCUCAACAUCAACAUCAUAAACCAACUUGAACGAGUCUAAAUCCAGGAAAUUAUGACCAGAGGUCUUUCCAAUGCCUCGACAAGAUAUUAAUGUUAACCGAUUCCUUGGUAGAGAGAGUUGAGAGAGGAUUCGACAUAACACAUCAUAUGGCAAAUCACUUAACGUGUCUUCUUGCUUUAAGAGUUGUUUAUAGAUAUUGUAGCCAUGGCCUCUCCCGAAAAUCCUAUAUUUCACACAAAGUUACGAUGUCAGUUUAGAAGUACGAAAGAUUACGGAAGAGAAGAAGAAGAGCCUUUUCAAUUCUCUGGCAGAGAUUUCUUGCUAGAUGUCAGAUCUCUUUGACAGUUUUCUUGAUAAUAUCGCAAUUACAAGAGCACCACACGUCGUGAGUCACGUCCUUUCAAAUUUCAAUCUUUACUGACCUCUUUUUGGUAUUUUUAAAUUAAAAAUAAUUAAUUUUCCUCUUUAAUACUUUCACUUAUCCUACAAAUGAUUGACUUUCGUUUAAAUUCAAAUCUUGGCCAUACAUUUCAUAGUUUUGUAAUUAAUUUGGUCAAAAAAAAUAUAAAGUAGCUAAAUAAACAAUGUAGU